RNAcentral lists this long non-coding RNA (597 nucleotides) under Mustela putorius furo (domestic ferret). Its description in RNAcentral is "lncRNA (ENSMPUG00000030293.1)". The record is from RNAcentral. Lineage: Eukaryota; Metazoa; Chordata; Mammalia; Carnivora; Mustelidae.
AUGGGGGUGGAAAGCUGUGUGACCUUUGAGCCGGGCUCUGCUAGGCUGAAAGUGGGGACGAUAACCCCCACUCCGUUCAGAUGUCAGCAGAACCGAGGACUCUUGUGCCACUCCUCACCGGAGUGUUCCGCUGAGGCCCAGAAGGAAGAACCUUCAGAAGUGGCAGAAGGAUCUGACCCCAGCCUGCCCUGUGGCUCCUCCCAAGGGGGGUCCCAGUGGAACACGGCCGAUGCCUUCCCUUAUCCGCGCCGCAGCUCCUGGCCCCAAAUUCAUGGCUGGCUCUUCUAUGGAUUCUGAACCUUGUCAACACAGUCCUCCAGUGAGCAGGAGUGACCCGAUCACACGAUGCUCUCCCCACUUUUUCAGGAAGCGCCUGAAAAACUCUCUUUACUUCCCUUGCUCAGUGGUAACUGGGCAAUGGAAGGGGUUCCGUAAACCAGAAUGAAUGAGCGAGCCAUUCUGAAUGACAGAAUGGUUUCCAAGGAUGUCAGGUCCUGGGAAUGUGUCACUCUCCUCAAAGGCAAGAAUAAAUUAUGCAAAUCUCUGAAGCCAGACUUUUUGCCUUCUCACUCCCUGCCUCCUUCCUCCAACCAGGUU